AUGUUCCUCUCCUGGAAAAAGAGGAAAAGAGAGGAACACUGGCUUGUGUUUUAUUUCCAACUUGGUCGUUUCCUGGAACCAUCUCUAGGUCAGGAUAAGAAUCAGGUAGAGCUUGAGGGACACGGUAUCUUACUUUUUUUUUAUUUCAUGUUUUGCUGUCAUAAUAAAAACCAUAGACUUAGUGGCUUAAGUGUUUGUUCAUUUCAUUUCCUUGUUGCAGAAGUCAGAAAUCUGGGGCAAUGGGUCUCAGAGGGCUGAAUACAAAAGGCUGGCAGCACUGUGUUACUUUCUUGAUGCUCUAGGGGAAAAUUCCUCUUCUUGUUCACUGGAGUCAUUGUUAGAACCCUGUUCCUUUCUGGACAGUAGCUGCAGACAGUUCAAAGCUUUCAGAGAAUGCACACACUCAAUGCCAGUACCAAUCCCUGAUUGACAAGACUUCUGAGCCCCACUCCUGCCCAAUCGGGAGUUCAACCCCCAUCUGAAUCCAGAAUUCCCCUACCUCGAAUCCUUUACUCUUUAAAAACCCUGCCAUAACUGAGUUCAGGGCUCUCCUUGAUCCAACCGCUGUGUUGGAACAGACAGAGAGCCCAAGCUCGAGCUCGCAAUAAAGGCUCUUUGCUUUUGUUUAUGAA
This is a long non-coding RNA of Peromyscus leucopus (white-footed mouse), 632 nucleotides long. RefSeq lists it as uncharacterized. The transcript is spliced from 2 exons. The record is from RefSeq and is a predicted model, not a curated record. Lineage: Eukaryota; Metazoa; Chordata; Mammalia; Rodentia; Cricetidae.